RNAcentral lists this ribosomal RNA (391 nucleotides) under Chrysophyceae sp. RNAcentral describes it as "partial small subunit ribosomal RNA". It matches the Rfam family "Eukaryotic small subunit ribosomal RNA", at positions 582 to 975 of the family's 1831-position model. The record is from RNAcentral. Lineage: Eukaryota; Chrysophyceae.
AUUCCAGCUCCAAUAGCGUAUACUAAAGUUGUUGCAGUUAAAAAGCUCGUAGUUGAAUUUCUGGUCGUGGCGAUCGGUCCGCCCCUCACGGGGUGUGCACCUGGUCUCUACGUCCAUCCUCGGGGAGAGCACGUCUGGCAUUCAGUUGUCGGGUGUGGGAUCCUCGUCAUUUACUGUGAGCAAAAUAGAGUGUUCAAAGCAGGCUUAGGCCGUUGAAUACAUUAGCAUGGAAUAAUAAGAUAGGACCUUGGUCUAUUUUGUUGGUUUGCAUUCCAAGGUAAUGAUUAAUAGGGAUAGUUGGGGGUAUUCGUAUUCAAUUGUCAGAGGUGAAAUUCUUGGAUUUAUGGAAGACGAACUACUGCGAAAGCAUUUACCAAGGAUGUUUUCAUUA